Molecule: unclassified non-coding RNA, 240 nt
Filed under: Hevea brasiliensis (rubber tree)
Lineage: Eukaryota; Viridiplantae; Streptophyta; Magnoliopsida; Malpighiales; Euphorbiaceae
Source: RNAcentral
GCUCCUCCCAAUAAUAGCAAUGCUAUAGCAAAAAAAACUACAUAUACUGUGGCCAAUGAUAAUGAAUUGAUAAAAUCACUUCCCAUCCCAAUCCACAUUAGCAAAGCAAACGCCACCAUCAAAACAAAUACUAGAGCAGUGACCCAAAUCACAAUUUUUUGACGGCUUCCAACACGAAUUGACCGGAAAGGUAAACAUAUUCGUAGACUGUCUGCAUGAGCUGAUGGAUCAUCUAAUGUC